CCUCUUCUCCUUCUUAUUUGAUUUGUAAUUGUAUGUUAUACAUCAUCUCAAGAUCCUAUCUUCACCCCAUAUAUGGUGGAUGAUGGAUCUAGGGGAUUACAUGUGGCAAAAGAUCAUGGAAACCCUAAAAGGGAGAAUGAUGAUUUUAUGUGCUUAUGUUUAUUUUCAUGUUGAUUAUUAUUACAUCCUUGAGGCUAAAUGAAAUCCUAAUGAUCCCUAACCCUUUUUAGUACCACCAUUAUCAUGGGGACUGAAUUGGGAUGAUGAACACAUCUUAAAAUGUGUUUCAAAGGGAGAAGGAUGGAUAAGCCAAAAAGGAAUCACGGGUGGCUACGAUUCUGUUUUCCAUCAGAUCUGUAGUCAUUUUGUAAAACUCAUAUCUUGAGCUCUAAACUCAAACGGACCCCAAACCAGUUCCAAAAGUUCAAAAAUUGAGUUGGAUAACUUUAUUAAGAAGGCCAACCUCACUGAUAAGGACUUUAUCUUUGGGAAAGAAUGGCAUCUUUGCUGUUAGGUCUGAUCCGGGUUUGUUAUGAUAUGUCAUUUUGUUUUCAUCAUUUCUAAAGCUUGGAAAAGGAUCCAGAGUGGUCGCAUCUUUGCUGUUAGGUCUGAUCCGGGUUUGUUAUGAUAUGUCAUUUUGUUUUCAUCAUUUCUAAAGCUUGGAAAAGGAUCCAGAGUGGUCCCAAGUUUCUAUAUGUUCCUUAUAUUAUUAAUUUAAGAUCUGGAGAAUAGGGAGUGUUAUUUCCAAUUAUAAAUUGGUUAGAAUGGAUCCACACUCC
RNAcentral lists this long non-coding RNA (779 nucleotides) under Lactuca sativa (garden lettuce). RNAcentral's name for it is "long non-coding RNA (LSAT_LNC010317)". Lineage: Eukaryota; Viridiplantae; Streptophyta; Magnoliopsida; Asterales; Asteraceae. The record is from RNAcentral.